RNAcentral lists this ribosomal RNA (253 nucleotides) under uncultured bacterium. RNAcentral's name for it is "partial 16S ribosomal RNA". It matches the Rfam family "Bacterial small subunit ribosomal RNA", at positions 524 to 776 of the family's 1533-position model. The record is from RNAcentral.
UACAGAGGGUGCAAGCGUUAAUCGGAUUUACUGGGCGUAAAGCGUGUGUAGGUGGCCGCGUAAGUCGGUUGUGAAAUCCCUGGGCUCAACCUGGGAAUUGCAGCCGAUACUGCGAGGCUAGAGUUCGGUAGAGGACGACGGAAUUCCCGGUGUAGCGGUGAAAUGCGUAGAUAUCGGGAGGAACAUCGAUGGCGAAGGCAAUCGUCUGGGCCUGAACUGACACUGAGACGCGAAAGCGUGGGUAGCAAACAGG